This 497-nucleotide ribosomal RNA is filed under the name uncultured bacterium. Its description in RNAcentral is "partial 16S ribosomal RNA". It matches the Rfam family "Bacterial small subunit ribosomal RNA", at positions 28 to 507 of the family's 1533-position model. The record is from RNAcentral.
GAUGAACGCUGGCGGCGUGCCUAAUACAUGCAAGUCGAGCGUACAGAUGAGGAGCUUGCUCCUCUGACGUUAGCGGCGGACGGGUGAGUAACACGUGGAUAACCUACCUAUAAGACUGGGAUAACUUCGGGAAACCGGAGCUAAUACCGGAUAAUAUAUUGAACCGCAUGGUUCAAUAGUGAAAGACGGUUUUGCUGUCACUUAUAGAUGGAUCCGCGCCGCAUUAGCUAGUUGGUAAGGUAACGGCUUACCAAGGCAACGAUGCGUAGCCGACCUGAGAGGGUGAUCGGCCACACUGGAACUGAGACACGGUCCAGACUCCUACGGGAGGCAGCAGUAGGGAAUCUUCCGCAAUGGGCGAAAGCCUGACGGAGCAACGCCGCGUGAGUGAUGAAGGUCUUCGGAUCGUAAAACUCUGUUAUUAGGGAAGAACAAAUGUGUAAGUAACUAUGCACGUCUUGACGGUACCUAAUCAGAAAGCCACGGCUAACUACGUG